UAUAUGGAGACAUACUCAGCUAUAUGUAACACGCUUUAAGCCGCAUACACACGUACGUACAUCAAAGAACAUAUUACACAAUUUGUUCCGCAUCUUAUUUUGCAAUCAUCCUAACACCUCACAUCCACAGAGCACCCUUAUCUCUGACAACACGUACCAUAUACUUACACAGACCACCUUCUACAUACCCGGCUGCAAACCACUACCACUACCACCGCAACCGCAUCCACCUCUCCAAACAAAAAGCAUCCACCCACCUUCUUCAAAAUCAGUCACACCAUUACCCCCAAAACUACAAAAGUAACACCCAGGUACCAAAACCCAACUCUAUACCCCGACCCCCGCCCUUAAUUUUAUCCGAGCCACCCAAAUGAUCAAACGUAACACGUCUCUGUUCUUACUCCCCCUCAGCACCAAACAGAUCCCGUUCACCGUACCCCCACAUGGCACCCCCCAGGUGUCGCGUCGAUCGAGCAGAUCGCUCGGAGAGGAGCACCCAGCUGGCUACGGAUCCGAGCCUUCGUCUCCGGCGUUGAAACGUCCCUCGGUGGAGAUACCUGGUGCCUAUGAACUUGGGGCUAUAGACCCAAGUCUUUAUAAAAUUGUUGAUGAAGAUGAAGAUUACGACAUGUCUGACGACCAUAUCGGUCGAUUGUGGUUUACGGUGGAGUACGAACGGGAAACGGAAAAACUGCUCGUCACACUAAUAAAAGCGAAAAACUUACCCAGCCGUACAAUGAGUAGUUCAAACGGAUGCGACCCCUUCGUCAGGAUCUACUUAAUGCCUGACGAACGGCGCUAUUUACAGUCAAAACUGAGAAAAAAAACCUGUAACCCCAAAUUUGAAGAAAGCUACAUAUUCCAGGUAUCGCACAAAUCCUUUGACGAUCGAAUUCUGAAGUUCACCAUGUUUGAUGUGGAUCGUCACCGACGUCAUAAUGUAAUUGGACACGCAUUGUUCCCGCUCAAAGAAUAUGAUUGCGAGAAUAACGAGAGAAUGGUUAUUUGGCGGGAUCUCGAGAAAGAAGUGUCAGAGUCCACCUCCGACAAAGGGGAAAUAUUUAUUGCCUUGUCUUACAACAGCCAUUUGGAGCGCCUUACCACUGCUAUAUUUGAGGCAAGAGACCUGAAGAAAACAGACGGUAACACCAACGUUGGAAUGGAUUCCUAUGUGAAAGUGUGUCUCUUAAUUCAGAACAAGAUUGUCAAAUCGAAAAAAACUGCGAUUGUGAAGCGAACCAUCGACCCGAACUUUAGCGAGUCUUUCACUUUUAAGCUCUCUUCAUCGUCACUUGAUACGGCAAGCAUAAGUGUUAGCACUAUGCAACAUUUCACCGGUGCUAAAGACAAAAUGAUCGGCCGAGUGGUCCUUGGAUCUUUCAUGUUCGCUCGUGGUCGGGAGCUGGAACACUGGAAUGAAAUGUUGAGCAGUCAACGGGAUCAAAUCAGUUACUGGCACUCCCUCACCUAAGAAUCAACCUCUCCUUCAAUGAUACGAAUUACUGUAAUAGAGUUUAAUGUAUGUGCAUAUAUACAUACAUACAUACAUACAUACAUACAUACAUACAUACAUACAUAUAUACAU
This 1585-nucleotide unclassified non-coding RNA is filed under the name Octopus sinensis (East Asian common octopus). Its description in RNAcentral is "synaptotagmin-15-like, transcript variant X3". Lineage: Eukaryota; Metazoa; Mollusca; Cephalopoda; Octopoda; Octopodidae. The record is from RNAcentral.